GACGAACGCUGGCGGCGUGCUUAACACAUGCAAGUCGAACGGAAAGGCCUCUUUCGGGGGGUACUCGAGUGGCGAACGGGUGAGUAACACGUGAGUAACCUGCCCUUGACUUUGGGAUAACUUCAGGAAACCGGGGCUAAUACCGGAUAGGAGCCCCUGCUGCAUGGUGGGGGUUGGAAAGUUUCGGCGGUUGGGGGUGGACUCGCGGCUUAUCAGCUUGUUGGUGGGGUAGUGGCUUACCAAGGCUUUGGCGGGUAGCCGGCCUGAGAGGGUGACCCGCCACAUUGAGACUGAGAAGCGGCCGAGACUCCUGCGGGAGGGAACAGUGGGGAAUAUUGCACAAUAGGUGGAAGCCGGAUGAAGGAAAGCCGUGAGCGGGAUGACGGCCUUGGGAUUGAGAACCGCGUUCGCUCAUGACGAAGCUUUGUGUGACGGUAGUGAGUAAAGAAGCACCGGCUAACUACGUG
Molecule: ribosomal RNA, 467 nt
Filed under: uncultured bacterium
Lineage: Bacteria
Description: partial 16S ribosomal RNA
Rfam family: Bacterial small subunit ribosomal RNA
Source: RNAcentral